GGAAAUGUUACAAGACAUUCUUUAGAGAGAAAUAAAAUAAUACAGAUCAGAAACUUGGAUCUACAUAAAGAAGACAAAAGCAUCAAAGACGGAAUAAGUGCAGGACCUCAGCUGAUUGGAUGAUGCCCACCAUAUUGGGGGAGGAUCUUCCUCACCCAGUCUACCAACUGCCAUGCCAAUUUCCUCCAGAAACACCCUCACAGACACACCUGAGUAGCCGAAUCAUUCUAAUUGAAAGCUAAACCACCUGGAUUUUCCUUACAGCAGAAGAGGAACAAGGUCAGUGCCUACUGAAGCACUGAGAAUAAUGAAUGUUUUCCCAGCUACCUGGGUAUCCCUUAAUUCCGUCAAGUUGACACUUAAGUCAACUAUCACAAAACUUAAGAAAAGCAAUUUUUCUGAGUUAGGGAAUGUAAAGAGAAAUUGUAUAAAAUUAGCUUUUAGUUUUAAAAAAGGACGCAGAAAUAAAAGAGCCUAUCUCCAGCUGGCUGAAGGCCUGGGAAGAAAAUUAUCUGACAAUGUUAUUUGGGAACUGCAGCACAAAUGGUUUCUAGAAGGACUCAUUGAACAUUUGCAGGAAGAGAAGCACGUAGAAGUCAAAUCGUAUUUGUAAAAGGAGUAGAGUGAAAGACAGAGCUUUACUUUUUUGUCAUGCAACAGGAUUCCAUCUGAGAUGAAACUUGGAGCCAUCACCUUUCCCACUCAGACCUGUUCCAUUUUCACAAUGUGACCUCUUCAGAGAGCAAAAUCAAUAAUGUGUCUGUCUCAAAAGCUCUGGUUGUGAUACUUACUUUUAAGGCUUAUCAUGACUUUCAUAAAAACAGCAAUAAAUGUCCUAAUAAAUGUGCAAUUCUAAAUAACAUAAGGAUAUUUUCUUAAACUGGCUGAGGGC
This 892-nucleotide long non-coding RNA is filed under the name Homo sapiens (human). RNAcentral describes it as "HSALNT0225538". Lineage: Eukaryota; Metazoa; Chordata; Mammalia; Primates; Hominidae. The record is from RNAcentral.